RNAcentral lists this ribosomal RNA (465 nucleotides) under uncultured bacterium. RNAcentral describes it as "partial 16S ribosomal RNA". It matches the Rfam family "Bacterial small subunit ribosomal RNA", at positions 339 to 795 of the family's 1533-position model. The record is from RNAcentral.
CUACGGGGGGCUCCAGUGGGGAAUAUUGGGCAAUGGGGGAAACCCUGAUCCAGCAAUGCCGCGUGUGUGAAGAAGGCCUGCGGGUUGUAAAGCACUUUCGGUUGGGAGGACUGCUUCUAGCACUAAUAUUGUUGGAAGUUGACGUUACCUUCAGAAGAAGCACCGGCUAACUCCGUGCCAGCAGCCGCGGUAAUACGGGGGGUGCAAGCGUUAAUCGGAAUUACUGGGCGUAAAGCGCGCGUAGGCGGCUAGAUCAGUCGGGCGUGAAAGCCCCGGGCUUAACCUGGGAACUGCAUCCGAUACUGUCUAGCUUGAGUACAGGAGAGGAGAGCGGAAUUCCACAUGUAGCGGUGAAAUGCGUAGAUAUGUGGAGGAACACCAAUGGCGAAGGCAGCUCUCUGGCCUGAUACUGACGCUGAGGUGCGAAAGCGUGGGGAGCAAACAGGAUUAGAUACCCCAGUAGUC